Callithrix jacchus (white-tufted-ear marmoset) is the source of this 1893-nucleotide non-coding RNA. The record is from RefSeq and is a predicted model, not a curated record. NCBI's taxonomy places the organism in Eukaryota, Metazoa, Chordata, Mammalia, Primates, Cebidae.
AUGUGUUGGUCCUUGAUCUGCCCUCCAGUGACCCAAGGCAGGGCUGCGGGCCUGCAGGGAAUCGUUGGAUGGUGGGAUGGGGCUUUCUGCAAGCUGUACAUGUGUGAGUGCCUCCUGCGUCUCCCCCAAGGGCUCCGGGAGCAGUGCGGCCUCUGUCCCUGCGCAGCCUCCUUUACCCAGUCUCAUCCUGUCACCUACUUGACUCUGCUGCCUGGGGAGUGGCCACCUGCAGAGAUCAUGCCCCUCACUCCCACCCAAGGAAACUCCUUUGCCCCAGCUGACAUUCCUGCUAAGGGCUCACUCUUCUCCCUGAAGCCAGACUGUGGCUUAUGUCUGGACGCUGCUGGGCACAUCCCUUUCUUUUUGUGACAUGGGAUUGCCUCAUUCCCCAUGACACCACCCCUCUGCAUGAGAACAUUGCCCCUCGCCCCUUUCUCAGACUGAUACCUUCACUGCUGCUCACAAAAAGGCUGUGCUGCCAGAUUCUGAUGCCCUCAUUGCCAGCUACCCAGGACCCAUUCCCUGAACGUCACAUCUGGCUGCCCUUGCCUUCCCCUCCCAUCUCAAUGAUCCUGACCUUAGACAUCUCUGCCAGGCCAAACCCCAAGGCUGGAACACUCCUCAACCAUUUCUCCAUUGCAGCUUCCCGGCUGUAGAUUCAAGUUAGAGAUGGACCCAGAACACCUGAGACCUGACCCAGAAUGGAUGGGUGCGGCUUGAUGUGAAUGAGGUCCUGCAGUGACUCCUUGGGGUGAGCACUCUCAGACUCCCUUCUACUCCAGCCCCCUUUCCACAUCCCCCACCCUCCCCAGAGGACCUUGACCCAGACCUAGUGGGCACUGCCCCAUCUUGCAUCAGUCCCCUUUCAACAUCAUCUUGCUGUUUCUGUUUCAAAGGAAACGGUAUCCUCCCUCCACAAGUCACGCUGUCUGUCCUUGGCCCUCCAGCCUAGCAAGCCAGCCACCAUUUUUGGUUUCCUUCUCAGACGUGCCACCUCUCCUUCCCUCUGCCCAAAAUGCCAUGCUUCUCUAUCCUGGAAAAUACUCAAGUUGAUUCAGUAAAUCAACUUCAAAUACUUAAAGACUCCCACCUUCUGUCCACCUCCUCUUCACCUCCUUCCCCUUCUACACUUCCUUCCUGGGUUGCUCUGCCUGAGGCAUCCCACUAGGAUCAUCUAUUCCAAGGUCAUGGACAGGCUUCUAAUGACCAAAGUUGGUUCCUUUUCUUCUUUCUUUCCUCCUUGAAGCCUGGUUCCCUCGUUCCCGGCAGCCCCUCAGUGGCCUGGUUCUCCUGUCCCCCUGCCCUUCCUCACCAUUGCCCAUUCCCUCAUUCAUUCAUUUAGCAGAGGCCUUACCGUCUGCCUGAGUCAGCUCUGAGACACCUGAAGAGCCCUCCAGCUUCCCUCAGACUAGAUUCCAAGACCUUUGUUCUCGCCUCUUCUCGCUGACCCUAUUACUUCUCAGCAGAUGUGACCGAUUGGUAGCUCCACCCCUAUGUCCUUCUGCUGGGUGGAAUGCAGGGGCUAGCUGCCCCAACUCAUACUGUGACCUUGGGAAAAUACCUUUAUUAUUCAGGCCUCAGUUUCCUCAUCUUUAAGGGGCUUGGAUGAGAUGAUGUCAGGGGCCUUUUCUAUAAUAAAAUACCGUGCCCACCAGCAAAACUUUUAUGUCCUUCCUUGUGCUGCCACCAGCAUUAGUGUGGCAUACCCAAGAACUCUUCCUCAGCCCGGACCUUAGCUCCCUUCCCAGGGGAGUUUCAGCUGUGCCCAACUCAAACUGUUUUCUUGAUCUAAAAGUGGAGGUAAUCUAGGCUGGGUGUGGUGGCUCAUGCCUGUAAUUCAGCACUUUGGGAGGCUGAGGCAGGCGGAUCACUUGAGGUCAGGAGUUCGAGACC